Schistocerca serialis cubense is the source of this 189-nucleotide long non-coding RNA. RefSeq lists it as uncharacterized. The record is from RefSeq and is a predicted model, not a curated record. NCBI's taxonomy places the organism in Eukaryota, Metazoa, Arthropoda, Insecta, Orthoptera, Acrididae. The transcript has 2 exons.
CAUAUGCCUUCUGGAUGACCUCUGCGUUGACGAAGAGCUGCGGGUAGAUCUCGUAGGGAGCUGGCAGUGUGACAUCCUUGGUAUCCUCGCGAUGGAGCACAGCGACAGUCAGUGAGUAGACGAACAGUGCCUCGUUCAGGUGCUCCCGCGCCCAAAUGGCCGUCUGGAAUCAAAAGGACACUCGUUAUA